Molecule: small RNA, 477 nt
Filed under: Pan troglodytes (chimpanzee)
Lineage: Eukaryota; Metazoa; Chordata; Mammalia; Primates; Hominidae
Description: retained intron
Source: RNAcentral
GAAAAGAGAAUCUGAGCUGCUGCUGUUUACAGAAAGGCUCACUAGUAAGAAUGCACAGCUUCAGUCUGAAUCCAAUUCUUUGCAGUCACAAUUUGAUAAAGUUUCCUGUAGUGAAAGUCAGUUACAAAGCCAGUGUGAACAAAUGAAACAGACAAAUAUUAAUUUGGAAAGUAGGUUGUUGAAAGAGGAAGAACUGCGAAAAGAGGAAGUCCAAACUCUGCAAGCUGAACUCGCUUGUAGACAAACAGAAGUUAAAGCAUUGAGUACCCAGGUAGAAGAAUUAAAAGAUGAGUUAGUAACUCAGAGACGUAAACAUGCCUCUAGUAUCAAGGAUCUCACCAAACAACUUCAGCAAGGUAUAAAAUUCUUCCACACUUAGACCAUGAAUGUGUUUGUUUCUUUUAAUCAUUACGAUUUUAUUUUUUGUGAUUCUGCCACAUUGAUUGAAGCUGUAUGUUUUCUUUGUUAAUAUUAGUA